UACGUAGGGUGCGAGCGUUAAUCGGAAUUACUGGGCGUAAAGCGUGCGCAGGCGGUUUUGUAAGCCAGAUGUGAAAUCCCCGGGCUCAACCUGGGAAUGGCAUUUGGGACUGCAAGGCUGGAGUGUGGCAGAGGAGACUGGAAUUCCUGGUGUAGCAGUGAAAUGCGUAGAGAUGCGGAGGAACACCGAUGGCGAAGGCAGCCCCUGGGCUAACACUGACGCUCAGCACGAAAGCGUGGGGAGCAAACAGG
This 251-nucleotide ribosomal RNA is filed under the name uncultured bacterium. Its description in RNAcentral is "partial 16S ribosomal RNA". It matches the Rfam family "Bacterial small subunit ribosomal RNA", at positions 524 to 776 of the family's 1533-position model. The record is from RNAcentral.